This 1460-nucleotide long non-coding RNA is filed under the name Junco hyemalis (dark-eyed junco). RNAcentral's name for it is "lncRNA (ENSJHYG00000012687.1)". Lineage: Eukaryota; Metazoa; Chordata; Aves; Passeriformes; Passerellidae. The record is from RNAcentral.
CUAAAUCCCAGUUUAAUUUUUCUUGUUGUGUUGACUAUCCACCUGCAAUGAACAGACAAUAUGUUCUAGUGUAUCUCCCUUUAUGUACAUAUUUUAAAUUCUUUUUCUUGUACUUCUAUUACAAAAGGUUGAGAAGAUGGAAGUGGUUAUGCACACAAAGGAAGAGUAUUUGCUCUGCAGUCUGAUGUUUAUUAGGUUUUAAAUCUGUUUGAAAUAAUGAAUUGCAAUCUACUGUAAUUAAAUAUAAAAAAUUGAGUGUUAUUAACUAGGCAAACGAAGAACAAUUUGCAAAGUUUGUAUUUUCUGCCACAGAUAUUUCCCUGCAUAUGAGAACUCUGUAUGCUAACCCUUAAGCACUCUAUGUCAAUCACAAAAGGCACUUUUCAUUUUCAUAUGGGAGAAUUGCAUUUUUAAAUUCAAUGUAACAUUAUAUUAUUUGAAGUUUAGAAUUAUUGUAUGAAAAACUUAUGCAAGAAUUUUAGCUGUAAGCCCCAUAUUUCCCUCAUUGGAGAUAUUUUGCUACACACCAGUUCCAGCAGAAAGGUUAAUAUUGGUGGUAUCACUGAAUGAUUCAAAUACACAGAAUAUACAUUGCUUGAUAAUUUGCCUCUGAAAAGCCACACCACACGCUAUUAUCUUGACCACUCUGAUGCUAAGAAGAUUCCUACUUACAGCAAAGAUUCCAGCCAGGAGAAAGUAGUUGAAUUUAUUCCAUGUAGCUCAGAUUCUCAUCCUUAAGAGCUAAUUGAUUCUGUCCCAUAUAUUCCUUUGAAGGGCAGUUGGUGACAAUUACUUUGGGGCAGAAGGUGCUUGUCUUUGGGAGACCUCAAUGAACCUAAAGGCUUCUUCAAUUUGGAGAAGCACAACAUUGCCCAGGAUAGGGGUAUGGUAGCAGAUGAUUACAGAAGCAGAACAUCUUUGGUUGCCUGGCAUUGUGUACCACUUAUUUUCUUUUUUUUUCCUAUCUCUCUGUUGCGAGGAAUCUGCUCACUCCAAUAUAUCACUGAGAUGCGUGAUGUGCCCUGCAGGAUCCCGCAAGGUACAAACCCAGGAACCUGAGAGGAAGCUUCAAAUGUGACGUCAAGAGGAUAAUGAAGACACAGCUGUACCCACAUUUCCACUGUGGUGACACUUCGUGGUGCCUGUUGUAAGAAUCACUUGCUGGAGGAGACACAAGUCCUUCUGAAAGCUGGUGCUCCAGGCACCACGACACUGGGGCUCCAUUUCUGAGGGAAUGGAAGAGAAAAGGGAGUCACCAGGAGAAGGUAACCGAACGGAGACUGAUGAACACUGCAGCUCUCUUUACGUGAUCUCUGAAGACAACAUUGAGGGCUACAUGUCUGUAAUCCUCACAAGUUCCCACAAGUGUGUCAGCGGGGUUCCUCAUUAAAAUUUGGCAAGGACUUACAACAAUAACUCACUGAAAGAGAAAACUAUAAAACAUUAUUAGUAAUAGAUCA